ACGAACGCUGGCGGCGUGCUUAACACAUGCAAGUCGAACGGAGGCUUGAGGGAGCUUGCUCCCGAUAGCUUUAGUGGCGGACGGGUGAGUAACGCGUGGGUAACCUGCCCUAGAGUGGGGGAUAACACCGCGAAAGUGGUGCUAAUACCGCAUGAAGCUAUUUGAUUGCAUAGUCGAAUAGCCAAAGGAGAAAUCCGCUCUGGGAUGGACCCGCGUCUGAUUAGCUAGUUGGUGGGGUAACGGCCUACCAAGGCGACGAUCAGUAGCCGGCCUGAGAGGGUGAACGGCCACACUGGGACUGAGACACGGCCCAGACUCCUACGGGAGGCAGCAGUGGGGAAUCUUCCGCAAUGGGCGAAAGCCUGACGGAGCAACGCCGCGUGAAUGAUGAAGGCCUUCGGGUUGUAAAAUUCUGUCUUCAGGGAAGAAAAAAAUGACGGUACCUGAGGAGGAAGCCCCGGCUAACUACGU
RNAcentral lists this ribosomal RNA (471 nucleotides) under uncultured bacterium. RNAcentral's name for it is "bacterial SSU rRNA". It matches the Rfam family "Bacterial small subunit ribosomal RNA", at positions 29 to 506 of the family's 1533-position model. The record is from RNAcentral.